CCUACGGGAGGCAGCAGUGAGGAAUAUUGGUCAAUGGACGAGAGUCUGAACCAGCCAAGUAGCGUGAAGGAUGACUGCCCUAUGGGUUGUAAACUUCUUUUAUAUGGGAAUAAAAUGUUCCACGUGUGGGAUUUUGUAUGUACCAUAUGAAUAAGGAUCGGCUAACUCCGUGCCAGCAGCCGCGGUAAUACGGAGGAUCCGGUCGUUAUCCGGAUUUAGUGGGUUUAAAGGGAGCGUAGGUGGAUUGUUAAGUCAGUUGUGAAAGUUUGCGGCUCAACCGUAAAAUUGCAGUUGAAACUGGCAGUCUUGAGUACAGUAGAGGUGGGCGGAAUUCGUGGUGUAGCGGUGAAAUGCUUAGAUAUCACGAAGAACUCCGAUUGCGAAGGCAGCUCACUGGACUGCAACUGACACUGAGGCUCGAAAGUGUGGGUAUCAAACAGGAUUAGAUACCCCGGUAGUC
Molecule: ribosomal RNA, 460 nt
Filed under: uncultured bacterium
Lineage: Bacteria
Description: partial 16S ribosomal RNA
Rfam family: Bacterial small subunit ribosomal RNA
Source: RNAcentral